CCUACGGGAGGCAGCAGUGAGGCAUAUUGGUCAAUGGUCGGGAGACUGAACCAGCCAAGCCGCGUGAGGGAUGAAGGUACAGAGUAUCGUAAACCUCUUUUGUCAGGGAACAAAGGCGGGGACGUGUCCCCGGAUGAGUGUACCUGAAGAAAAAGCAUCGGCUAACUCCGUGCCAGCAGCCGCGGUAAUACGGAGGAUGCGAGCGUUAUCCGGAUUUAUUGGGUUUAAAGGGUGCGCAGGCGGUCUGUUAAGUCAGCGGUAAAAGCCCGGGGCGCAACCCCGGCCCGCCGUUGAAACUGGCAGUCUCGAGUUGGAGAGAAGUAUGCGGAAUGCGCGGUGUAGCGGUGAAAUGCAUAGAUAUCGCGCAGAACUCCGAUUGCGAAGGCAGCAUGCCGGCUCCACACUGACGCUGAGGCACGAAAGCGUGGGUAUCGAACAGGAUUAGAUACCCUGGUAGUC
This 459-nucleotide ribosomal RNA is filed under the name uncultured bacterium. RNAcentral describes it as "partial 16S ribosomal RNA". It matches the Rfam family "Bacterial small subunit ribosomal RNA", at positions 338 to 795 of the family's 1533-position model. The record is from RNAcentral.